UGUCACAGACGCUCGUCUCCUGUCACCGGGGUCUGUGCCCUGCCACCGGGGUUUUGUAGCUUCCCAGCCCUUUUCUCUCCCUCUAGGGCCUUUCUGGGCUCCGCCGGGCUGCCCCCCCCCCCGCCCGGAGGCUGCCUCCCACGGUGCCCACUGGGGUGGCCCGGGCCCCUGAGUGAGGGCCAUGGCAGUGGCCGGGGCCCUGUGGUGGGCUCCCUCCUCGCUGUUGGCCCUCGCUGCUCUCCCAGGGAGACAGUGGCCAAAGGAAACCCCCUGAGCCUCGCCCAGACCAGCCUUUGUGGCGCUGCUUAGCGGGGCCGUGGUUUGGGGUGAGGUGACACAGAGCUGCUCUUCCCGCCUUAGCCCUCAGCCAUGCAGCAUAGUUCAUGGGGACAUUUGGGGUUGUUGCUUCCAGCUCAACCGUGGAUCGGCCGGCAAGUUUCAGCUUCUUCCUGAGAGCUAUGGUGAGAGCAGAUGUCUGAGCAUCAGUGUAUGGAGUCAUGGCUGUGCAAGUUUCUUCAUCUAGAGCCAGAUAAACAACUGGAUGGAACAGGGUAAUAGCCAAAUGUCAGUGAAAGAAGUGCAUUAAUCUAAAGGAGGUGAAUGAAUAUGCCUCCCUUUUUUUUUCCUCCAUGUAAAUCUUUCAUGAACAGAUGUAGCAGUGAAUAUAAAACUUCAGUCCAAAGCUCUCUUCGCAUUUCUUGUAGCUGAAAAACAGAUAUGUAAAAUCAGAUUAAGUGACACAGCUCAAAUAAAUUCUGUUACAGAGGACA
This is a long non-coding RNA of Aquila chrysaetos chrysaetos, 770 nucleotides long. RefSeq lists it as uncharacterized. The record is from RefSeq and is a predicted model, not a curated record. The transcript is spliced from 4 exons. NCBI's taxonomy places the organism in Eukaryota, Metazoa, Chordata, Aves, Accipitriformes, Accipitridae.